CAGCAGUAGCCGCGGUAAUACAGAGGGUGCGAGCGUUAAUCGGAUUUACUGGGCGUAAAGCGUGCGUAGGCGGCUUUUUAAGUCGGAUGUGAAAUCCCUGAGCUUAACUUAGGAAUUGCAUUCGAUACUGGGAAGCUAGAGUAUGGGAGAGGAUGGUAGAAUUCCAGGUGUAGCGGUGAAAUGCGUAGAGAUCUGGAGGAAUACCGGUGGCGAAGGCGGCCCCCUGGACAAAGACUGACGCUCAGGUGCGAAAGCGUGGGGAGCAAACAGGAUUAGAUACCCGCGUAGUCCCUGUCUCUUAUAC
RNAcentral lists this ribosomal RNA (304 nucleotides) under uncultured bacterium. RNAcentral's name for it is "partial 16S ribosomal RNA". It matches the Rfam family "Bacterial small subunit ribosomal RNA", at positions 506 to 807 of the family's 1533-position model. The record is from RNAcentral.